CCUACGGGCGGCUGCAGUGAGGAAUAUUGGUCAAUGGACGAGAGUCUGAACCAGCCAAGUAGCGUGAAGGAUGACUGCCCUAUGGGUUGUAAACUUCUUUUAUAUGGGAAUAAAACGUUCCACGUGUGGGAUUUUGUAUGUACCAUAUGAAUAAGGAUCGGCUAACUCCGUGCCAGCAGCCGCGGUAAUACGGAGGAUCCGAGCGUUAUCCGGAUUUAUUGGGUGUAAAGGGAGCGUAGGUGGAUUGUUAAGUCAGUUGUGAAAGUUUGCGGCUCAACCGUAAAAUUGCAGUUGAAACUGGCAGUCUUGAGUACAGUAGAGGUGGGCGGAAUUCGUGGUGUAGCGGUGAAAUGCUUAGAUAUCACGAAGAACUCCGAUUGCGAAGGCAGUUCACUGGACUGCAACUGACACUGAGGCUCGAAAGUGUGGGUAUCAAACAGGAUUAGAUACCCUGGUAGUC
This 460-nucleotide ribosomal RNA is filed under the name uncultured bacterium. RNAcentral describes it as "partial 16S ribosomal RNA". It matches the Rfam family "Bacterial small subunit ribosomal RNA", at positions 338 to 795 of the family's 1533-position model. The record is from RNAcentral.